AACCUGCCCCAUAGUCUGGGAUACCACUUGGAAACAGGUGCUAAUACCGGAUAAGAAAGCGGAUCGCAUGAUCAGCUUUUAAAAGGCGGCGUAAGCUGUCGCUAUGGGAUGGCCCCGCGGUGCAUUAGCUAGUUGGUAAGGUAAAGGCUUACCAAGGCGAUGAUGCAUAGCCUAGUUGAGAGACUGAUCGGCCACAUUGGGACUGAGACACGGCCCAAACUCCUACGGGAGGCAGCAGUC
RNAcentral lists this ribosomal RNA (240 nucleotides) under uncultured Lactobacillus sp. RNAcentral's name for it is "partial 16S ribosomal RNA". It matches the Rfam family "Bacterial small subunit ribosomal RNA", at positions 123 to 355 of the family's 1533-position model. Lineage: Bacteria; Bacillati; Bacillota; Bacilli; Lactobacillales; Lactobacillaceae. The record is from RNAcentral.